AAGAAGAAGAAGAAGCGGGAAUGCCAAAAUUUCAAGGCUUCCUCUCCAUUUUUUUUAAGGUUUUGGGCUAAUAAAAUACAUCAUGCUUCGUCUUCACCGUCUCUUUCAUUAUCUCUCUCGCUGUUCUCUUUCGCAUUCUUCUCUCUUUCGUUCUUCUGUAUCUUCUUCUUCAUUAAAACUUUUGAAUCGAUUCAAAAUUCUAGCUUUCUCCUUCGGUCGACUACGUAGUGCAAUUUUCUCCUUCGCGUUCGAGCUUAUGGACUGAUCAAAAUAUUAUAGCCUUCUCCUUCGUUUGACUAAUUCGUGCUUUGAAAUUUCAACCUUCUCUCCCUCAUUCGAUUGCAUCGUGCUUCAAACUUCUUUGUUAUGUUGUGCUUCGAUUUGAAAUUUCUGAGUUUUGUGCACCGAUGUGAGCUGUUCGUGAGGUGAGAAGAAGUUAUCCAAGUUGUCAUAGGUGAUAGUGUUGGAUAAGUGGAAAGAAGUGCAAGCAUCACACAAGAAAGCAGUGGCCGGAAAAUUAAUCAAAACAAGCUCAUCUCCAAGAAGAAAAGGAUAUAUCUUGAAGAAUGGUUCUAGCAAUUCUUCACACCGAUUCGUCCAAAAUCAUUGUAAGCUACCGUCAAAGCUUUUGUUGCAACUCCUUGAUUUUACAUCAAGGGACCAAACUUGACCAUUCAAAGGAAGGGAAGAUACAUUUUGAGGCUUGAAUCUAUGGAGAGAAAAUUGCAGAUGAAAAUGAAGAAGAAGAAGAAGAAGUACGUGAAGAAGAUGGAACACCAAGACUUUUUAAAGUGGUUCAGUCAUAAAGACCUAUGUCCACUGAUUACAGGAUAAGUUCCCUCACUCUUACUCUCAUCUUUAUAGCUCUAUUUUUAAUUAGUUCGAUGACAACUAGAGUUGAUAUUUUCUUCAACUUUUUUAUGACAGACGUAACUGAUUUUUAUUCCAAUUUAAGAGUGGAGUUUAUUUGACAAAGUGUCUUCAUCAAUUCAAGCAAGCAGGGAUAAGGAACUUCUUAGAUUUUUUUGAUGUUACUAAUGGAUACAUUAUUUUAAAAAGGUGGAGACUAAAGGAUACUUGCGUAUCUUGAGGAAACUAGAAAGUAUGUUGAGGUUGCAUUAUUUUUUUCUUUAUCUUCAUUUAAUUUGUACAACAUGUCGAUCUCACAAAAAAUAAGGUUAUUUUUAUGGAAUGUUGUAGUGAUUGAAGUAUCCCAUUAUGAGCGAUAUUUCUACUAUUAAAAAUUUAUUUUGAUGUAAAUGUACUUGCAUACAAUAUUAUAGAUUUCAA
Benincasa hispida (wax gourd) is the source of this 1290-nucleotide long non-coding RNA. RefSeq lists it as uncharacterized. Lineage: Eukaryota; Viridiplantae; Streptophyta; Magnoliopsida; Cucurbitales; Cucurbitaceae. The record is from RefSeq and is a predicted model, not a curated record.